AGUCCAUUCGUCUAAAGGUGAGGACGACAGUUUCUCAAGCUGUAAAUCGGGGUUCGAUCCCCCGAUGGACUA
RNAcentral lists this transfer RNA (72 nucleotides) under Paludibacteraceae bacterium. RNAcentral describes it as "tRNA-Glu". It matches the Rfam family "tRNA". From Rfam's summary of the family: Transfer RNA (tRNA) molecules are approximately 80 nucleotides in length. Their secondary structure includes four short double-helical elements and three loops (D, anti-codon, and T loops). Lineage: Bacteria; Pseudomonadati; Bacteroidota; Bacteroidia; Bacteroidales; Paludibacteraceae. The record is from RNAcentral.